CCGCUCGCGCACCUCCCGGCCGGAGGGCCGUCGGCCGCCGAGCGGGCACCGGGAGCCGGGAAAAGUUGGCGGCGCGUCCGCCGCGGGGAGGCCCGGGGCCGCGGGGGAGAAAAGACACUUUUUACAGAGCUGGGAGCUCAUAAACGUCUCAAAAGAAAGAUGCUGGAUAAUUGGAAAUAAGAAUUUGAGUUUCCUGGUUUUCUGUGUGUGUACAACCCAUAGGAAAUUCUUCCCAGUAAAUUCCUGUAGCCUUCAGACAUUUUCAAGAGGCAAAGGACCAGCACUCUUCUUACCAGUGGAUUGGAUUGGUGACUGCAGCUUUGUCAGCAGCCGUGACUCCAUGUCCCAGGAUGCAGGGCAACCCAUCUGGGGAAGACCCAAGGAGGCAGAGGAUGCCCUUCUAUGCAAACUACGGUGGCAGGACCAGCCUUCCACCUCCCUGGAGGUGAUCUGUGCUCUGGAUGUGCUGACUUGGAGAAGCAGGAGUUCUCGUCGUGGCGCAGUGGUUAACGAAUCCGACUAGGAACCAUGAGGUUGUGGGUUCGGUCCCUGCCCUUGCUCAGUGGGUUAACGAUCCGGCUUUGCCGUGAGCUGUGGUGUAGGUUGCAGACGCGGCUCGGAUCCCGCAUUGCUGUGGCUCUGGUGUAGGCUGGUGGCUACAGCUCUGAUUGGACCCCUAGCCUGGGAACCUCCAUAUGCCACGGGAGCGGCCCAAGAAAUAGCAAAAAAAAAAAAAAUUUUUGUGAGGGGAUAUGCAUAAUCAUUAGUCAAAAUUUAAGUUUACGACAAGCAAAAAUGUCAGCUUCUAAAAUAAUUCUACUUUUAAGUAAUUCAGCAUGCCAAUCACAUGAUAUCUUAAGAUGGAGAUUUUUUUCUCAAUAGCAAGCUUAAUUGAUUACAUUAAUAUAAUCAUGGUUAGUCCUUCUUAAUUAUUUUAUGCUUCUGAAUAUUUAAGUUGGAAAUGUAUCUACUGGAUUCAUCUUUUUAAAAUGAUAUUAGACAACCUAUAAAAAUAUUUAGGCUGUAUAAAAUGAAUUUAAAACAAUAUCCAAAGUUGUAAAUGUUAUUUAUAAGGUGGAAUUUCAUUUUUAAGACAAAGUAUGUGACAAAAAUAUGAUUAAGGUAAAUAAUUGGGCUUUUAUUUACUAAUUAAAUUAUAAACUGUGUAAAGGCUUUAAAAUGCUUGGUUAAGGAUAAAUUCCUUUUUAUAAGUAUAAUCCAUAGCUUCAAUUUAUCUUUAUCAUAAAUUAAUUUAUUGCUUUUAUUUCUUUAAGGACAGUUUUUCUAUUACAAGCAUCUUAACAGAUAUUUGACUGUAAUGACAGGAAAGAAACAGUAGAGGGCACUUUAGUUCCCUAACAAAAUAAAACCAUUUCUACAACAUUUUAUAAAUCAGUAAAAUAGGCAAAGGGAAGAUUUGAACUAUCUGGUAAAGGUUAAACAAAAACAUGAAGCUAGUUCCUCUGCUUCAUGGAGCCUAAUAGAAGAUAACUCAGAUAAACAGCAAUUUCUUCCUUUAAUCCAUCCAUAAACAAACUAGAUAACAUGAAAAACAAGUGCUCUCAGAUUGGCAAACUCAUGAGUCCAUCAUUUCAAGAGUAUUUCACUUUAAAACUCUCACAAUUACUUGUAAAUUUCCCAAUCUAUUAAAUGUACUUCAUUGAAAUCAGUAAAUUCUCAUCAUCCAGGGUUUUUAAGAGGUAGAUUGUGAGCUCUCAGUACAUAAGAAGUAGCACUAUGUAACCGUGUAUUUCUUGUAUCUUGGUUCUAUACCCACUAGCGAUUACCUUUAGUUAUGUUACUUAAUCACAAUUUCUUCCAAACUUAUCUUUAUCAUCAUCAUCAUUGUCAUUUCAAAGCAACGUCCUUGCUUUCAAGUAACUUCCACUCUGUUCUGGCUGAAAAAAGUAAAAUUGAUAUGUGAAACAGUAAACUAAAGAGAGAGAAGGCAUAAUAAAUCUAAAUUGUUUUGUUUAAUGUGUAAGUGACCCCCAGGCAAAUCAUUAUCAUUCCCAGAGCCUCGGUCUUUACAUCUUGAGGUUCUGGACUUGAUGAUCUGACUAAAACGUUAUUAUCUAUUCUUUAUUUUUUUUUUUUUUUUGGCAUGCAGAAGUUCCUGGGCCAGGGAUUGGCCCUGAGCCACAGCAGUAAAAAGGCUGGAACCAUAACCUGCUAGACCACCAGGGAACUCCACUAUCAUCCAUUCUUAUGUUGUAUAUUGUUCUAUCAAAUUUUGUUAAUUAAUUCCUAAGCUCUCAACAGAUUUACUAUGGUUCUGAACCUUUUGGGGUGUCAAGACCCACUUGACAAUCUUACGGGAGCUUAUCCCCUCAAAAAAUGCUCUAAGGUUUGUCUUAUUCAGAACAAGUUAGAUUAAUUUCAGGAGGACCUCCAGAAAUCAAUCCACAGACUCCAUUAUGGAUUGUCUGGCAUAACAACUCUGGACUAUGUCAAGAAUCUCUGGGAGUUCCCACUAUGACACAGUGGAUUAAGAACCCUACUGCAGUGGCUCACGUCUCUGUGGAGGUGUGGGUUUGAUUUCCAGCCCAGUACAGUGGGUUAAAGGUUUUGGUGUUGCCACAGCUACAGCUCGGAUUCAGCCCCUGGCCUGGGAACUUGCAUAUGCCAUAGGUAUGGCCAUUUAAAAAAAGAAUCUUUGAAAAAAACACAAAUUAUACAGCUCCCACAUAGUUGGGGGUUUAUGCCUAGAAAUGUUAUAUGCUGUUGUUGGAUGAAGGUGGGCAAUGCGGCUGGAGAUGGGGGUAGGCCACCCCAAGCAAGCUUUCACUUUAUUUCAUAGGCAACAGGAAGUAUACUGGAGUGUUUCAAUAUAGAAGCAGAAGAUAUACCUUUUUAAUAGCAAAAUCAGAGAGUCAGAUGCAAAAUAAACAGAAGAAAGAAAGCAGGGUGAUAAUCCAUGAAUCCAUCACCAUAAUCAUCUGGGAGGCAUUGUGAGAACUGUUUCGGACCUAGAGGUUCUCACACUAAGUGAUGUACGCCAGACAGAGACAAAUAUCACAUGAUAUCGCUUAUAUGUAGAAUCUAAAAUAUGAUACAAUGAACUUAUUUACAAAACAAAUCAGACUCACAGACAUAGGAAACAAACUAAUGGUUACCAAAGGGGAAUGGGGGAGGGAUCAAUUAGGAGUUUGGGAUUAAUAUAUAUACAGAACUAUAUAGAAAAUAAAUAUUAAGGCCCUACUGUAUGGCACAGGGAGCUACGUUCAAUAUUUUGUAAUAAACUAUAGUGGAAAAGAAUCUGAAAAAAUAAUGUAUAUAUAUAUAAAACUGAAUCACUUUGCUGUACACCUGAAUUUAACAACAUUGCAAAUCAACUAUAUUUCAAGUAAAAAAUAAAUAAAA
This 3363-nucleotide long non-coding RNA is filed under the name Sus scrofa (pig). RNAcentral's name for it is "lncRNA (ENSSSCG00025062085.1)". The record is from RNAcentral. Lineage: Eukaryota; Metazoa; Chordata; Mammalia; Artiodactyla; Suidae.